UGCCUCUCACCAGUUCUGUGAAUGGUCACC
Molecule: non-coding RNA, 30 nt
Filed under: Rattus norvegicus (Norway rat)
Lineage: Eukaryota; Metazoa; Chordata; Mammalia; Rodentia; Muridae
Source: RNAcentral